Molecule: long non-coding RNA, 901 nt
Filed under: Homo sapiens (human)
Lineage: Eukaryota; Metazoa; Chordata; Mammalia; Primates; Hominidae
Description: HSALNT0153605
Source: RNAcentral
GGUACUACGACAUGAAUAAAGCAAAAUCCCUACCCUCAGGAGGCUUCUAUUUGAUGAAAGAAAAGUCUGAUGGCAAGACUAGGGGGUAGAUUGGAGGUGCCAACCCUGAAAGCAGAGAGACCAGUUACAAGAAAAGAGGUGAUGAGAGAUUUACCCAGGACUGUGGCAAGAGAAUGAAGACACGAGACACUUCCUGGGAAGUCAGGUGAUGGUGCAGAGGAUGCAAAGCAGUCGGUCAAACUGGGGGCCCAUUGCUCCUGAGUCCUUCCUCCCUUUCCCUCUUGUCAUCCCUUGUCGCUUGAUCAUAUUUUUUAUAGACUCCUUUUAUUUUGACUCCACCCUCAAAGAGAUGGGCACACUCAGGAUUAGAUGUUCAUUCCAUAUACAUUCACCCUCACCAGUAUCUACCUCAAACACUUGACUCCAGCCUCUGCUGACCCAGCUCCAUCCAGCUGGUAUCUCCUUGUACUUCCAGACACUAGAUGGGGAGGGAGGUAGGUUGAAUCUUCAGUGAGGCUUCGCUGCACUCUCUGAUCCUGGGUCUAGUGACUGGGACCUCCCUGCUGGGGCCCUUGAAUGCUUCUCAAUGAUCUUUUGCUGUUCAUAGGGGAUGCCCUUGGAGCACCUUCCCAGGCACACAUAAUCUGUCUUUUCCCAACCAUAGGACUGGCCUUCUGUCUUGGGUCCCACUUUCUGUGCGUUUCCUGCCUUCAGAGGGUUGGGGUGCAGCUUCCCACACCUGGAUUUCCCAAUAGUCAUCAAGUGUUCCUCACUCCAGGGCAGUAGUUCUUGAAGGGUUGUCUGUGCACCUCUGCAGGGUCACUGAGAUCUUUUCAGGGAACCCUCAGAGUCAAAACUAUUUUCACAAUAGUACUUAGAUAUCAUUUGCCUUUUUCCGUUC